This 88-nucleotide unclassified non-coding RNA is filed under the name Pseudomonas poae. Lineage: Bacteria; Pseudomonadati; Pseudomonadota; Gammaproteobacteria; Pseudomonadales; Pseudomonadaceae. The record is from RNAcentral.
GGGGGAGGGGGCUUGCUCCCGAUAGCGGUGCAUCAGUCAGCUUAUCUACAAGCUGGCCCACCGCAAUCGGGAGCAAGCCCCCUCCCAC